AACGAACGCUGGCGGCAGGCCUAACACAUGCAAGUCGAACGGGACCUUCGGGUCUAGUGGCGGACGGGUGAGUAACGCGUGGGAACGUGUCCUUUGGUUCGGAAUAGCCCCGGGAAACUGGGUGUAAUACCGGAUAAGCCCUACGGGGGAAAGAUUUAUCGCCAAAGGGUCGGCCCGCGUUGGAUUAGGUAGUGGGUGAGGUAAUGGCUUACCAAGCCGACGAUGCAUAGCUGGUUUGGGAGGAUGAACAGCCACACUGGGACUGAGACACGGCCCAGACUCCUACGGGAGGCAGCAGUGGGGAAUCUUAGACAAUGGGGGAAACCCGGAUCUAGCCAUGCCGCGUGAUCGAUGAAGGCCUUAGGGUUGUAAAGAUCUUUCAGUGGGGAAGAUAAUGACUGUACCCACAGAAGAAGCCCCGGCUAACUCCGUGCCAGCAGCCGCCGUAA
This 449-nucleotide ribosomal RNA is filed under the name uncultured bacterium. RNAcentral describes it as "partial 16S ribosomal RNA". It matches the Rfam family "Bacterial small subunit ribosomal RNA", at positions 29 to 523 of the family's 1533-position model. The record is from RNAcentral.